GCAUAUCAAUAAGCGGAGGAAAAGAAACUAACAAGGAUUCCCCUAGUAACUGCGAGUGAAGCGGGAAAAGCUCAAAUUUAAAAUCUGGCGGUCUUUGGCCGUCCGAGUUGUAGUCUGGAGAAGUGCUUUCCGCGCUGGACCGUGUACAAGUCUCUUGGAACAGAGCGUCAUAGAGGGUGAGAAUCCCGUCUUUGACACGGACUACCAGUGCUUUGUGAUGCGCUCUCAAAGAGUCGAGUUGUUUGGGAAUGCAGCUCAAAAUGGGUGGUAAAUUCCAUCUAAAGCUAAAUAUUGGCGAGAGACCGAUAGCGAACAAGUACCGUGAGGGAAAGAUGAAAAGCACUUUGGAAAGAGAGUUAAACAGUACGUGAAAUUGCUGAAAGGGAAACGCUUGAAGUCAGUCGCGUUGGCCAGGACUCAGCCUUGCUUUCGCUUGGUGCAUUUUCUGGUUGACGGGCCAGCAUCGAUUUUGAUCACUGGAAAAAGGCUAGGGGAAUGUGGCACCUUCGGGUGUGUUAUAGCCCUUAGUCACAUACAGUGGUUGGGAUCGAGGACCGCAGCACGCCUUUAUUGGCCGGGGUUCGCCCACGUUCGUGCUUAGGAUGCUGGCGUAAUGGCUUUAAACGACCCGUCUUGAAACACGGACCAAGGAGUCUAACAUGCCUGCGAGUGUUUGGGUGGAAAACCCGAGCGCGUAAUGAAAGUGAAAGUUGAGAUCCCUGUCGUGGGGAGCAUCGACGCCCGGACCUGAACUUCGGUGAUGGAUCUGCGGUAGAGCAUGUAUGUUGGGACCCGAAAGAUGGUGAACUAUGCCUGAAUAGGGUGAAGCCAGAGGAAACUCUGGUGGAGGCUCGUAGCGAUUCUGACGUGCAAAUCGAUCGUCAAAUUUGGGUAUAGGGGCGAAAGACUAAUCGAACCAUCUAGUAGCUGGUUCCUGCG
Molecule: ribosomal RNA, 939 nt
Filed under: Fomitopsis palustris
Lineage: Eukaryota; Fungi; Basidiomycota; Agaricomycetes; Polyporales; Fomitopsidaceae
Description: partial large subunit ribosomal RNA
Rfam family: Eukaryotic large subunit ribosomal RNA
Source: RNAcentral